CGCCGUACAUAUUGUCUUCCAUCUGAAGA
This 29-nucleotide small RNA is filed under the name Bombyx mori (domestic silkworm). Its description in RNAcentral is "ovarian small RNA-14363". The record is from RNAcentral. Lineage: Eukaryota; Metazoa; Arthropoda; Insecta; Lepidoptera; Bombycidae.